GACGAACGCUGGCGGCGUGCUUAACACAUGCAAGUCGAGCGGUAAGGCCCUUUCGGGGGUACGACGAGCGGCGAACGGGUGAGUAACACGUGGGUGACCUGCCCUCCAGCUCUGGGAUAAGCCUGGGAAACCGGGGUCUAAUACUGGAUAUGACUCCAUGACGCAUGUUGUGGGGUGGAAAGCCUUGUGCGGCUGAGGAUGGGCCCGCGGCCUAUCAGCUUGUUGGUGGGGUGAUGGCCUACCAAGGCGACGACGGGUAGCCGGCCUGAGAGGGC
RNAcentral lists this ribosomal RNA (275 nucleotides) under uncultured bacterium. Its description in RNAcentral is "partial 16S ribosomal RNA". It matches the Rfam family "Bacterial small subunit ribosomal RNA", at positions 28 to 301 of the family's 1533-position model. The record is from RNAcentral.